CCCGCGCCUUGUCCUUUCUCUGUGGCACCUAUUAGGCUGGUGGGGGAGGGGAGAGGGAACAUGGCCUAGGUGUUGAGGCCUUAGAGCGGCAAGGGCUUUGUGAAGGACAAAAUGGCGAUGGCGGGCCGUGCCGACUGGCCUUUCUGUGAUGAGAACAUUUUCACAGACCUGUACUGAGCUCCGUGAGGAUAAGGAACUCUGAGGAGACCGGCCUGGCACAGCCGACGCCGCCUUAGCUUCGGAAAACGCAGCUUUGGCGAGAUAAUCCGAGGUCUGACCUAAGGUUCUUUUGUCUGCAGGGUUUGGGCGCGCAUCGAACUCUGAAGGGUCGGGAAGGCCUGUCGUUGGAAUGUGGUUGAGUUCCAGGGAGUGUACAGGCUGGAGGAUGGGACAAGACCUAUCUCUGUAUCGAUCAAGCACGGCGUUGGUGUUCCAGGUGGGCAUACGAUGCUUUAUGCCAUUAUGGGUAUGAGCACAGCGCCUGGUUGGGACUUGCUCGUUCAGGUUGCACUGGCCACUCCAUGAUGAACGGUAAAAUGACAAGCAUAUGCCUGAACUCAAAAAAGUGAUGUCAUCUUAACUACUGAGAAGUGGGCGGGGAGUACUCGAGGCUUUUUAAUGGUUGUUCUUAAGUACAUUAAAUGCCUCCCUUUUCUGUCUUCAGCUCAUCACCAAUCCUAAGGAAUUCAAGUGCCUCCCAGGAUGAAUACAGGUUGUCUUGAUGGUGAUACAUUCAUCUGUCUUAAGAUCCCUGCUGAUCUGCUCAUGGUCAAACUCAUGGAAAGAGUUGAGAGUGGGGCACCUUGUUCCUGCAUCCUCAAAGGAGCAUCUUGUUCCAGAGUUAAAAGGUUCCAGAGUUAAAAGGUACCUGUACCAUUUAGCGGCUUGUUCACUCAAAGAUCCAUCUUUUCUGGAGCCUGAGGAUGAUUGGAGGUAAAUCUGUUUAUCUAUGGCUGCUAUGUAAAGUUUGCCAGUUUUUGUGUGACACUUUGGAUAGUUGUGCAGGUAUUACUUAAUCCAAAGUCUGCCUUUGGCCAUUUGUGAACCACCUGAAACAGAUUUCUGCUCACAUGAUGAGUUUGAUACCGCCCCAGUCUGAUCACUAUGACUGAAAGGUAUUUUCUGAGCUGUGAGUUUGCCUUAGAGUGGGAAGUUAGUCUUUUUAUAAAAUGUCUGUUGAGACCUACACAGCCUAUUAGGGUGUCCCAUUCCUCUGGGAAUGGUUGACUUAGUUCCCAAUCUCUGUUUUGCAGGUGAAAGGUGUAAGCCAUACUCUGCUCAACUCCAGUCUGAAACUAAGGUUAGUAAAUUUAAAUGCAUUGAGGAUGGAGUUAAAAUUUCCCUAUGAAGAAACAUUCACACGUCUUACCUCCUGUCCUAGUCCCAGAGCCUGUAAAGGUGAACCCACUGGGGCUGGCUGGGGGAAAAGAGGAAGGCUUGUUCCAGAAGGAACUGUCUGAGGGAAUCUUAAGAAUUUCUAAAUUUGGGGAAGGGAUAAAUUAUUCACUGAAAAUGAGUUUUUUUGUUUGUUUCCAGGUUUAAAGAAAGAACACGUACUUAACACACGGGUAAGUAAGUAUCCAUUCACGUACUUGUGUUAAAUAUCAGACUAACUAUAUAAAUACAAUGUUCUAAGUCCGUUUUAGUAAGAACCCUAAACUGUUCUUUUUCUCUGCAGGAAUCCAACUCUUGGAGGACAUCAGAAGUGGAAUUUUCUUAUACAACCUACCUAUUCAAAUUAGCAUAUAAUCUUUCUAGCCUUUCUAAAUAAAUAAAGGGAUUUUUUUGUAAACCUUGACUGCUUCUGUGUUUGGAUGGACUGGACCUAGGUGAGCAGGAGAUAAUAUGAUCCCAGGGAGAUUGUUACUUGCUUUGCCCUACUUAGCAUAACAGUUUGCCGCAUAUUAGUCUAACCCAGGAAAGCAUCCAAAGAGCCUCCUAGACCUUUAAGGAGUUUUCCUUCCUAUCGAUGCUUGGCCUAGUUGUCCUUGCUGGGUUUGAGUGACCCUUUACGGGGAGGAGGAGAACGCCAAAAAGUCCUUUGGAUCAGUCCCAAAGAUGACCAUUUUGUAAAGGUUCUUUAUGUCACAAAGAAUUCAGCGAGAGGAGUUCUCUAGAGGAUGAAGAAAAGCGAAUGCUCCCUCACCGUUGGGGAUGUAAAUUGGCACAACCACCUUGGAAAACAGUAAGGAGGUACCUGAGAAUCCCACUCCUGGGCAUUUAUCUGGACAAAACUAAUUCAAGUAGAUAGACGCACCUGGGUGUUCAUUGCAGCGCCAUUCACAAUGGCCAGACAUGGGAACCUAAAUGUUCAUCUACAGAUGAGAUGGAGAUACGGCACAUACACGUGAGGGGGAUACUGUGUAAAAACUAAUGCCAUUUGCAGCAGCAUAGGUGGAACAUAGGAUACUAAAUGAAGUAAGCCAGAAAGAAAAAGAUAAAUAACAUGUAGCACUUGAAGCUUGUGGAAUCUAAAAUAAUGGGACAGAUGACCCUAUCUAAAAAGACAGCUGAAAACCAAUCACAGCCAAAGCCAGCAGACUUGGGGUUCCCAUGGGGGGAAGAGGGAGUAGGAUGGGUAGGCAUUUGAGUGGGUUUGGGUGCAAACUUAAGUUUGGAAUGGGUGGGCGGUGGGGCCCUACUGUACAGCACAGGGAAAUGUGUAUGUUGGGUCUCUGCCACACAACAGAAUUUGAAACACUGUAAGUCAACCGUACUUUUAACAGUAAAAGGAGUUCCCAUUCUGCUGCAGGACUAGGAACCACAAGGUUGUGGAUUUGAUCCCUGGCCUCAACGAGUGAGUCAUUACCUUAAGCUGGGAUGGGUGUUGCUGGUGUGGCCAUGGCUGUGGUGUAGGCCUGCAGCUACAGCUCUGAUUCAGUCCCUAGCCUGGAAGCUUCCAUAUGCUGCAGGUGUUGCCCUAAGAAAAGCAAGAAAGGAGUUCCCCUCAUGGCUCAGUGGAAAUGAAACUGACUAGUAACCAUGAGAACACAAGUUCGAUCCCUGGCCUCACUCGGUGGGUUAAGGACCCAGGCUUGCUGUGGCUGUGAUGUAGGCUGGUGGCUACAGCUCUGAUUCGACCCCUAGCCUAGGAAGCGCUGUAUGCCACAGGUGCAGCCCUAAGAAGACAAAAAACAAACAAAAAAAAGAAAAGCAAGAAAAUAAUUCAGUGAGAGGAGUUCCUGUCACGGCUCAGUGGAAGUGAAUCUGACUAGGAACCAUGAGGUUUUGGGUUCCAUCCCUGGCCUUGCUCAAUCCGGCGUUGCUGUGAGCUGUGGUGUAGGCUGCAGAUGUGGCUUGGAUCCCGCAUUGCUGUGGCUGUGAUGUAGGCCGGUGGCUACAGCUUCCAAUUAGACCCCUAGGCUGGGAACUUCCAUAUGCCGCAAGAGCAGCCCUAAAAAGACCAAAAAAAAAAAAAAAAAAAAAAAAAAAAUUGAGAGACAAAGGUGUUAGGGGCAAGAAGAUGGAAUGUGGUCCCCAUAGAGCAGCCCUGGAGAAACACCACAGAGUAGGCCACCUCAAGGCUAGAGGCCUGUACCGUAGAACUAGUAGACUUGGACAAAGGCACUAGGAGCCAGUGAGGCUUGGCAAUUAAGGAUAAAAAGAUUAGCUCUUUGGGGGGCAAAGUUUUGUAUGUCUUUUUAGGGCUGUACCUGUGGCACCCAAUGGAGGUUCCCAGGCUAGGAUCGAAUCUGAGCUAUAGCCACGGACCUACUCCACAGCCACAGCGAUGUCAGAUCUGAGCUGCAUCUACCACCUACACCACAGCUCAAGGCAAUGCCAGAUCCUUAACCCACUGAGCAGGGCCAGGGAUCGAACCUGCAUCCUCAUGGAUGCUAGUCAGAUUCAUUUCUGCUGAGCCACAACAGGAACUCUCAUGUGAGGUUUAGAAUACAUUUUGUGGGAGUUCCCUUCGUGCCUCAGUGGUUAACCAACCCCACUAAGGAUCCAUGAGGAUAUGGGUUCAAUCCCUGGCCCUGCUCAGUGGGUUAAGGAUCUGGCGUUGUCAUGAGCUGUGGGGUAAGUUGCAGACACAGCUCAGAUCCUGCAUUGCUGUUGCUGUGGCAUAGGCUGGCAGCUGCAGCUUCAAUUUGACCUCUAGCCUGGGAAUUUCCAUAUGCCUCGGGUGCAGCUCUAAAAAGGGGGAAAAUACAUUUUGGGUCCCCACUAUCGUAAAAUAAAGGCAAUUUCACUGAAAGAAAAUUUAUUUCUUGCUCAUUCAAUGGUAGCCAUACAGAAAAAAAUUGUCAAAAGAAAUUUUACAGCCACAAGAAUGAAAGUAUACGAGUCCUGCUGAGACCCAACGGGUUAAGGAUCUGAGUGUCUGGUAGAUAAUGACUGAAGCCUUUGCUCAAGCACUGUUUUCACCAGGUGGCCCAUACCAAUUCAAAUCAAGACUCAGUUGACUUAAGCCAAGAGAUGGAAGAUAUGGGGAUCUCCCAGCGAGGCUCAGGGUUUAACAAACCCAACUAGUAUCCACGCCCUGGCCUCCCUCAGUGGGUUAAGGAUCCGGCAUUGCCAUGAGCUGUGGUGUAGGUCACAGACACGGCUUGGAUCAAGCGUUGCUGUGGCUCUGGUGUAGAGUGCAGAUGAGGCUCAGAUCUAGCAUUCCUCUGGCUGAGGUGUGGGCCAGCAGCUACUGCUCUGAUUUGACCCCUAGCCUGGGACCUUCCAUGGUGCAUCCUUAAAAAAGCAAAAAAAUAAAAGUACACCCGUCGAAAGAAUAUCCUUCCUUUGGCCUUGCUUUGCUGGUAUCAAUGCCAGUGACUUUCCAUGACCUCUUCCACUUCCCUCCAUCUCUGCCACCACAGCCACCCCCACCCAAGCCACCUUCCCCUCUUGCCUGGAGGAUCACUAGAACCUUCUUAUUUUUCCCCAGUAGAUUUUUUUUUUUUUAAAGGCUGCACCCAUAGCAUAUGAAAAUUCCCAGGCUAGAAUCAGAGUUGCAGCAGCCAGCCCACAGCACAGCUCAUGGCAACAUCAGAUCCUUAACCCACUGAGCAGGGCCAGGGAUCAAACCCACAUUCUCAUGGAUAGUAGUUGGGUUCAUUAUCACUGAGCCACAACGGGAACUCCUGCCCAAUAGACCUUAAAGUCAUGAAGGCAAGAUGCAUGUCUAAUUUUGCUCAUUAUUGUCUGCU
This 5141-nucleotide long non-coding RNA is filed under the name Sus scrofa (pig). The record is from RNAcentral. Lineage: Eukaryota; Metazoa; Chordata; Mammalia; Artiodactyla; Suidae.